This 429-nucleotide ribosomal RNA is filed under the name Actinomycetes bacterium. Its description in RNAcentral is "Actinobacteria bacterium partial 16S ribosomal RNA". It matches the Rfam family "Bacterial small subunit ribosomal RNA", at positions 355 to 776 of the family's 1533-position model. Lineage: Bacteria; Bacillati; Actinomycetota; Actinomycetes. The record is from RNAcentral.
UAGGGAAUCUUCCGCAAUGGGCGAAAGCCUGACGGAGCAACGCCGCGUGAGUGAUGAAGGUCUUCGGAUCGUAAAACUCUGUUAUUAGGGAAGAACAAAUGUGUAAGUAACUAUGCACGUCUUGACGGUACCUAAUCAGAAAGCCACGGCUAACUACGUGCCAGCAGCCGCGGUAAUACGUAGGUGGCAAGCGUUAUCCGGAAUUAUUGGGCGUAAAGCGCGCGUAGGCGGUUUUUUAAGUCUGAUGUGAAAGCCCACGGCUCAACCGUGGAGGGUCAUUGGAAACUGGAAAACUUGAGUGCAGACGAGGAAAGUGGAAUUCCAUGUGUAGCGGUGAAAUGCGCAGAGAUAUGGAGGAACACCAGUGGCGAAGGCGACUUUCUGGUCUGUAACUGACGCUGAUGUGCGAAAGCGUGGGGAUCAAACAGG